AAGACCAGACUUGGUAAAUUGGAGCCUCUGGGCCUGCAAAAUCUUCGCUUUUUCUGCAUCAGAUGAUCAUAUAGCUUAAUCACCAAAGGAUGGAGGGGGAACAUAGAAUCUGAAUCUAACAAUCAUUCCAUAAAGAAGCAGAAAACAAGAUAUAAUUAUGAAAUUGAAACAUGAAAUAGUCAGCUUGUCAAAGAUGUCCUAUAGCCUUCUUAGCAAAUCAAAUUAUAUGAUUGUAUUCUCAAUUUCAUGAUUUCAUCGAUGAUGUUAAAAGCAACUAACUAUUCCACCCAAGCGUAUUAGGCAAUUUCCAGCUGCUGCACAUAGAAUUCCUAAGGCACCAUUGCACAUGAUCAAAAGUUGAAUGGCAUAAUAAAAUUGGUUUAGAAAUACCAUGCUCUAAGGGAACACCUAAAGCAGAUAAGUGUUUAGCAAGCAUCAAAAAAUUUUUUGAUAAAGCUCCAUCCUCUCAAAUUUGCAGUUGGCAAACUUUACCUAAUGGUUUCCUGAUUUCAAUACACAUAUUUAGCAUGUAAUGUCUCACUCAGAUGCAACAGGCAUCCCAAGAUACAUCCACAUUAUAUGGAUAGUAACUUCCUUUUCCUCCAUAAAGGUGGAUAUAUACCACAUAUUAUAUUAUGGGAAAAAUGGACUGCAACUUUAAGAAACUAUUUAUGAUGCUGGAAUAUUAGCAUUUUCCCAAAGUUAAUAUUAUGUUUUUUAAUAGAUUUCAUCGUAUAUAAGGAACUCAGAAAUUUGGAAAUAAACAGAGUAGUUCCUCCAUCAAAUUAUACAAGAUGCACCUAAAGGAUCAAUACAAUUUAGAACUUUGUUCAAGACAAAGGUACACUCUUUGUAGUACAACAAAAUAAGUUUUGAUACACACACACACAUUUUUUUUUAAAAAAAAGU
Molecule: long non-coding RNA, 909 nt
Filed under: Phoenix dactylifera (date palm)
Lineage: Eukaryota; Viridiplantae; Streptophyta; Magnoliopsida; Arecales; Arecaceae
Description: long non-coding RNA (PDAC_LNC017085)
Source: RNAcentral